RNAcentral lists this ribosomal RNA (451 nucleotides) under Dichaetophora sp. K1 (Toda). Its description in RNAcentral is "partial 28S ribosomal RNA". It matches the Rfam family "Eukaryotic large subunit ribosomal RNA", at positions 1508 to 1897 of the family's 3401-position model. The record is from RNAcentral. Lineage: Eukaryota; Metazoa; Arthropoda; Insecta; Diptera; Drosophilidae.
UUCGUGUGAACAGUGGUUGAUCACGAGUUAGUCGGUCCUAAGUUCAAGGCGAAAGCCGAAAAUUUUCAAGUAAAAUAAAAAUUUAUUAAAUUUUUUAAACACUUGAAUAAUUUUGAACGAAAGGGAAUACGGUUCCAAUUCCGUAACCUGUUGGGUAUCCGUUUGUUAUUAAAUAUGGGCCUCGUGCUCAUCCUGGCAACAGGAACGACCAUAAAGAAGCCGUCGAGAGGUAUCGGAAGAGUUUUCUUUUCUGUUUUAUAGCCGUACUACCAUGGAAGUCUUUCGCAGAGAGAUAUGGUAGAUGGGCUAGAAGAGCAUGACAUAUACUGUUGUGUCGAUAUUUUCUCCUCGGACCUUGAAAAUUUAUGGUGGGGAUACGCAAACUUCUCAACAGGCCGUACCAAUAUCCGCAGCUGGUCUCCAAGGUGAAGAGUCUCUAGUCGAUAGAAUA